UCCGUCAAGACUACUACUUGUCUGUGGAGCUCUCUACUAGGGAAGUUCCUGAAGUCUGAAAAAAAUCAGUCCUGUCCCAGCAGUAACAAAUGAGUACAGGUUUGUGGAGCAAGCAACUGUUCAUUUGUUUUGUCAGUAAUGGAAAGAAGACUUGAACAGCUGAUGACAGACUCAUCCAUGCAGUUCUUCUAUGCCUAAGUGAAUACAAAUUAACAACAACAAAAUUGUUCAAGAACAUUUGGUCUUUGGAAGAAAAGCACUUGUCACAUAAUCCUGUGGUUACUGAAAGAACAGGAGGGAUUUUCACUGAUGUCAUUAGCAGUUGGAUCAAAUUCAAGCAUGGAUUUAGCCGAAUGGCGAGGGAAGAAAAGUGCUCUGGUGAUGGCUGGAUAUCUCACUGGGUGAGCCUGGACAUUUAUUAAUUAUACUGUGAAGAAGUUUGAAGAUGAAAAAGAG
This is a long non-coding RNA of Struthio camelus australis, 456 nucleotides long. RefSeq lists it as uncharacterized. The record is from RefSeq and is a predicted model, not a curated record. NCBI's taxonomy places the organism in Eukaryota, Metazoa, Chordata, Aves, Struthioniformes, Struthionidae.